RNAcentral lists this long non-coding RNA (2051 nucleotides) under Ictidomys tridecemlineatus (thirteen-lined ground squirrel). RNAcentral describes it as "lncRNA (ENSSTOG00000033282.1)". Lineage: Eukaryota; Metazoa; Chordata; Mammalia; Rodentia; Sciuridae. The record is from RNAcentral.
AUGCUGGCCUUCCAUCACUUGGUUGGAUUUUUGGAAGCUGGGGUCCCAGGCCAGAGCUGGCCAGGCCAGGCUGGGCUGCAGGAUACUGACCCCCAGUUGGUGCAUACAUCUCCAAGUGCUGUGCAUGUCAGCAUUGCCGCAACACCCUGGAGUCCACUGCUGCUCAGACCCCAUGGAAGCCACAGCCCAGGUGGUGCCCCAUCCCUGAAGGCCCUAAAUGGACAGAGGAUGGAAGACGUCCAUGUGAGGACUGAGCAGAGCUGGAGCCGGGCUGCCACAACCGGAUCACCAAGGUCAGCCCGCAGCCCAGCUGGAGGAGGAGGACCCCUCUCCCCGGGAACACCAAGGAAGCCCAGUCCUGCCUAUGCCUUGCCUACAGGACCCCUGCUCCUGGCUGCAAGGGGACAGAGUCCUGAUGUGCGCAGCCCGGGAUCCGACCAGAGCAACCCCACAUUCUGCAUUGCCCAGGCAGCCACAGGUGUCAAGUCACCCACAGGACAGCUAUGUGCCCACCACUUGAUUCCACCAAAGGACCAAACCACACGUACCCACCCAGCUAGAUCAUGUGGCCUGCUGAGACUUGCAGCCGGACGCAAGGCAGAGGCCCUAGACACGUACAAGCCGUGCCAAGGGAUGCCCAGGCCUUGCCAGCAGACCCCAGAGCGCCAGUGACAUAUUUACGUGCUUUGCUUAUUCAUCCGCUUACUUUGUCCUGAGUACAGGAGGGCAUCCCACUCUUGCAGACAUGACCCUCAUGGAGGCCCAUGAGUCCCUGGAGGGGCAUUGUCCCUGGCCUGAGGCCCCAUCCUGGGAGGCUGCCCCCUGGUAGACAGGAAAACUCUCCACAGCCCUGGUGCCCUCACUGAGGUGGCCUGGCCCGAAUGACAGCAGCACUCCAGUUGCCCCAGGGCCAAUUCCCACCUCCUGGCUCUGCUGGAAGCCCACGGCCUCCUGGAGAAGGGUCCACCCACAGACAUGGAUGUGGCAAUUCUCACCUGCUGCUGUGAGCAGCCCCCCAAGGCACUUCCUGGCCCAGGUCUCCUGUCCCCAUCGUCACCUGGGGAGAGCCCAGAUGGCUGUCACUGCAACGCCUCCUCCGUGUGUCCUGCCAGCAUUUCCUUCAUGGCUUCAAAGCCUCCACGCCCUGUAUUCCUGUACCAGUGGCCAUCUGCUGCCCACCAGGAUGCUGGCUCUUGACCCCUGGGCAUCUCCAGCCCUUGCUGUUGGGUAGGGCCUGAGGCCAGCUCUGGGAAGGCUUUGAGUGGACACAGCCUGUGUCGUUUCUGGACUGGAGGAUUCAUUGUCGGUGCCAGUGCCAGUGCCCAUGCCCAUAGCCACACUAUCCAGCAACACUGUGGGCGCCUACCGUCCUUGGGUUCAGGACACACACCAGGUCCUGGUCCCUUCAUGCCACUCACACAAGGUACGCUUGGCACAAGUUGUGAGCUUGUUUCAGAGCCUGGAGUAAAGGAGGCUGGGAUGGUCCCAGACCCACCGCAGCCCACCCUGCGCCCCCACCAGUAGCACGACAAGCUCUUCCCCUCCGAUCUGAUGCCUGGGUCUCCUGCUUGCCCUGAGUCCCCAUGCCCUGCUGGACUUGGGGGGCUGGACUUUUGCAGGCGGAGGACCUGUGGGCACUUCUCCCAAAGUGGCCUGAGUGCAGAGCACCGGGAGGUGGCUAGCAGACAUCGGGAGGCAUAGCAGGCAUCAGGCUGCAGGCAGGGUGUACAGGGCCUGGAGGAGAGGCAGGAGCCCUGCCCUGCUCUGGAGGUGGCAGUGUCCUCCUUCCUGGGCCUCCAGGCCUGAGCCUGCUGGAGGAGAAGCCCCUCCACCCCUGUUGCAUCAGCCUCCCUCAUGUCCUUCCCCACACCUGCCCAACCUGCUCUGUACCUCUGGCCCUGGCCCCGUGAAUCCCAGACCUGGUUCUCAGUGGCCUGAGCUGGGGGGAGAAGCAACAGUCUAUUAAGAUUUAAAGAGAUUUAGCAUAACAAGACAAGCAGGAAAAGAAAUUUAAUUUAGUGAUAAAAAAAAAGUAAUCAAAUCUCAACCUG